RNAcentral lists this ribosomal RNA (844 nucleotides) under uncultured bacterium. RNAcentral's name for it is "bacterial SSU rRNA". It matches the Rfam family "Bacterial small subunit ribosomal RNA", at positions 8 to 812 of the family's 1533-position model. The record is from RNAcentral.
AGAGUUUGAUCCUGGCUCAGGACAAACUUUGGCGGCGUGCCUAAUACAUGCAAGUCGAGCGAGCUUGCCUAGAUGAUUUUAGUGCUUGCACUAAAUGAAACUAGAUACAAGCGAGCGGCGGACGGGUGAGUAACACGUGGGUAACCUGCCCAAGAGACUGGGAUAACACCUGGAAACAGAUGCUAAUACCGGAUAACAACACUAGACGCAUGUCUAGAGUUUGAAAGAUGGUUCUGCUAUCACUCUUGGAUGGACCUGCGGUGCAUUAGCUAGUUGGUAAGGUAACGGCUUACCAAGGCAAUGAUGCAUAGCCGAGUUGAGAGACUGAUCGGCCACAUUGGGACUGAGACACGGCCCAAACUCCUACGGGAGGCAGCAGUAGGGAAUCUUCCACAAUGGACGAAAGUCUGAUGGAGCAACGCCGCGUGAGUGAAGAAGGGUUUCGGCUCGUAAAGCUCUGUUGGUAGUGAAGAAAGAUAGAGGUAGUAACUGGCCUUUAUUUGACGGUAACUACUUAGAAAGUCACGGCUAACUACGUGCCAGCAGCCGCGGUAAUACGUAGGUGGCAAGCGUUGUCCGGAUUUAUUGGGCGUAAAGCGAGUGCAGGCGGUUCAAUAAGUCUGAUGUGAAAGCCUUCGGCUCAACCGGAGAAUUGCAUCAGAAACUGUUGAACUUGAGUGCAGAAGAGGAGAGUGGAACUCCAUGUGUAGCGGUGGAAUGCGUAGAUAUAUGGAAGAACACCAGUGGCGAAGGCGGCUCUCUGGUCUGCAACUGACGCUGAGGCUCGAAAGCAUGGGUAGCGAACAAAAUUAGAUACCCUGGUAGUCCAUGCCGUAAACGAUGA